This 402-nucleotide ribosomal RNA is filed under the name uncultured Novosphingobium sp. RNAcentral's name for it is "bacterial SSU rRNA". It matches the Rfam family "Bacterial small subunit ribosomal RNA", at positions 355 to 774 of the family's 1533-position model. The record is from RNAcentral. Lineage: Bacteria; Pseudomonadati; Pseudomonadota; Alphaproteobacteria; Sphingomonadales; Sphingomonadaceae.
UGGGGAAUAUUGGACAAUGGGCGAAAGCCUGAUCCAGCAAUGCCGCGUGAGUGAUGAAGGCCUUAGGGUUGUAAAGCUCUUUUACCAGGGAUGAUAAUGACAGUACCUGGAGAAUAAGCUCCGGCUAACUCCGUGCCAGCAGCCGCGGUAAUACGGAGGGAGCUAGCGUUGUUCGGAAUUACUGGGCGUAAAGCGCGCGUAGGCGGUUUCUCAAGUCAGAGGUGAAAGCCCGGGGCUCAACCCCGGAAUUGCCUUUAAGACUGCAUCGCUUGAACGUCGGAGAGGUGAGUGGAAUUCCGAGUGUAGAGGUGAAAUUCGUAGAUAUUCGGAAGAACACCAGUGGCGAAGGCGGCUCACUGGACGACUGUUGACGCUGAGGUACGAAAGCGUGGGGAGCAAACA